GAAAUUCAAUCCCAUUUCUCUAGUCUGACAAACUGUACUAAAUGGUAAAAUGGAUUUUUAUUGCUUUCAGCCAUUUUCAUUCCAGCUGCUAUCACUAGACUGAAAUUUGUCUUGAACUUUGAGAAGUGAAGAGUAAAAUUUUAUUACAUUGAGCCAAAACCCUGGCCAGGGUGUGAUGCAGCCCUUGAUGCAAUUCUUGAUCAGCAGAGGCCAGCAGCACUGAAUGGGCACCGACACCCACACUGGCCCUGAGCUUAUCCACUCCAAGAGGGCAGCUGGGUUCCAUGGGCCUGGGACAGGUGUGGAG
Molecule: long non-coding RNA, 307 nt
Organism: Camarhynchus parvulus
Lineage: Eukaryota; Metazoa; Chordata; Aves; Passeriformes; Thraupidae
Exons: 3
Source: RefSeq, a predicted model, not a curated record